Heterocephalus glaber (naked mole-rat) is the source of this 642-nucleotide long non-coding RNA. The record is from Ensembl. Lineage: Eukaryota; Metazoa; Chordata; Mammalia; Rodentia; Bathyergidae.
CACAGGUGUGGACCCCGCUGGUCACGUGACGCCGCGCGGCCAGGGGAGCGGUUGCCCUGUCCUGAGGGCUUUGCUGUCCUGAGGGCUUUGCUGUCCUGAGGGCUUUCCUGCCCUGCAAAAGUGCGGGCUCAGACCCCCUCUUCCUUGGGUAGUGCGCUGGAGCCCGAAUAGAUUUUCAUAAGAAAGUACCAUUUGGGGCUUGGGGAGGUGUAAAACUCGCCUAAUUCCUUUUCUUAAGAAAACCUACCCCCUCAGCUUUGUGAGACUUCUGGUGAUGUUUAAAUCAGGAUUUUAGAAGGGAUUUUAGGAGGUAUGUCUGCAACCAGUGUCUACAUUCAAAUGACAAAGGCAGGGAUCGAACUCGGGUCCUUGAGCUUGCGAGGCAGGCAGCGGAACCACUGAGCUAAAUCCCCGGCCCAUUUAUCUCUCUAUUCUUAUCAGAAAUUCUACUGUUAUGCAUGUGAUUUUCAUGUGGAGUUUGGAAGGAGAAGCAUUCCUGGAGACUUCUGUUGCAGAAGGGAGGGAUGGUUUCUCCCUGGAGCCUGCACUUUUGAGAAGUCCAUUCAUGCUUUUGCCUCGAGUGCUUAAACCUUGGACAUACCGGCCUCCAGAACUGUGAGAAAUAAAUGGCUAUUGUUUAGG